UGAGCAUCGGUGAUGAUUAGAAUCCAUUGUUAUCCUUGCACUAUGAUUGUUUGUGAAGAAACUUAUGGGGAAAGUUCUUUCUGAGAUGCUC
This is a small nucleolar RNA of Alnus glutinosa, 91 nucleotides long. RefSeq annotates it as small nucleolar RNA snoR26. NCBI's taxonomy places the organism in Eukaryota, Viridiplantae, Streptophyta, Magnoliopsida, Fagales, Betulaceae. The record is from RefSeq and is a predicted model, not a curated record. The transcript has a single exon.